Molecule: unclassified non-coding RNA, 371 nt
Filed under: fungal sp.
Lineage: Eukaryota; Fungi
Description: partial internal transcribed spacer region
Rfam family: Eukaryotic small subunit ribosomal RNA (bases 1-46)
Source: RNAcentral
AAGUCGUAACAAGGUAACCGUAGGUGAACCUGCGGUUGGAUCAUUAAUAUAAAUCGACGUGGCCUUUCUUUUAAGGCCACAACGAACCUUAUGUGAAUUGUUUUUUGGUGAAGCAAAUGGUAGACUUUAUGGAGUUUAACUUACAACAUUUCUCUCUAUAUUGUCGAUUCCCUCUCUUUUUUUUUUAUUCUAAUUUAUUUAGGGUAUAAAAGGAGAAAGGGCCAUUUCUUUAUCACGGUCAGGGGUUUUGUUACCCUUGCUCGAUAACCCACCAUUUAUUUAUUUUGUCUGAAUAAUUCAAAUUGAGAUUAAAUUUUAAUCUUAAUAUUUUAAUGAAUAAACAACUUUUGACAACGGAUCUCUUGGCUCUC